This 73-nucleotide transfer RNA is filed under the name Salmo salar (Atlantic salmon). It matches the Rfam family "tRNA". From Rfam's summary of the family: Transfer RNA (tRNA) molecules are approximately 80 nucleotides in length. Their secondary structure includes four short double-helical elements and three loops (D, anti-codon, and T loops). The record is from Rfam by way of RNAcentral. Lineage: Eukaryota; Metazoa; Chordata; Actinopteri; Salmoniformes; Salmonidae.
GUACGGUUGACUCAGUUGGUAGAGCGUGGUGCUUUCAACGCCAGGGUUGUGGGUUCGAUUCCCACAGGGGACC